UUUUUAUUAUAUCUCGGCCAUGUGAUAGAUUUAGGGGGAGGAAAAAAGAGAGAAGAGGGGAGGAGGAGAAGAAGAAGAAGGGAAAAAAAACCCCUAAACUUCCGGGUCUCAUGACCAGGAACAGAGAAAAACAAAAGAGGAUGAGACCCAACUCCAAGGGAAGGAUGUGCGUGUGUGUGUGCGUGUGCGUGCGUGUGUGUGUGUGCGUGCGCACCGCUCCAGGUGCCCCCCGCAAUGAACUAGGUCCGUGGAGGCGUUUUUCGGCCCUGCUGCCCCGUAACUCCUGGCAGAGAUGCCACGGUCUCCCCGUUGUGCCAGCCGCCGGUCACUAAGGGCCACUGAGCCCUGAGCUGGCGUCCUCUUCUCUUCCCUCCUGUCGCCCCUGCCCAGGGCUCGGUCUGGAGUGCCCCAAUUCCCGCUGAGCUGAGCCCAGCUGAGCCGAGCUGCUCAGCGGUCUUGAUUUCUGGGUCAAGUUCAGAGAAGUUUAUUGCCCAGAGAGGAAAAAUAACCCCCGGCAUCGAAGGGGCCCCGUGCUCCAAAAGUCACUAUUAUUAUUACUAUUACUACUAUCACUACGAUGACUUUUCCAACACGAUUUUUUAUGACAACUUCCUAGAAACAGCAAACGGAGUGCACUAUCUUAUUGGCUCCGCUCCUUUUCGGGAGCUCCACCUCUUCACCCCACCCCAGCCCCCUCCAGCGCGCGGGCACACCCUGGUGCGGAGCGAGGUGCGGAGCCGUGGGCUUUGGCAUCGUUGUCGGCUCUGCGGCCAGCUGUCGGGGAAUGGUUGAUUGACGGACUGAGUCGGGCGCAGUUGUCAAUAUCCUUGGGAAAGGAUGCUUGAGAGGCUCCGCGAGCUGCUAGAUACGGGAGAGUGGACUACUGUGCGGUGGGGCCUAUUCACAAAGAGAGGCGUCCGAGGCAGGGGAGAGGAACGCCUGAACUUUUCUCCGCUGAGUGUCUGGUCUACAGGUUCAGAUUAACGAAGGAGAAGGAGCCAGCAGUUAAAAAUGAUUUUGCCUAUCCUGGUUCUCUCCUCCUUGUCAAGCUGAGUUCUGUUUCUAGAAUCACAACGUUUUGGAGGUUCAAAUGAAUUAGUGGCCUACAAUCACGAAAUCAUAGGACCCUAGAAUUGGCAGUGACCUUGAACAGUAACAUAAUCACACGUCCCGAUGAACACAGAAUACAGUGUCCUCUUCCGCAUCUCCUGCAAGGCACCAUCAACAUCUACUUUCACUCCUUCUGUCUGGAAAUGUAAGCACCCACCAAGACAGUCUGGUCAACUUCUAGCAAGUUCUGCUUUAUACUGAGUUGAAAUUCCUGUAAUUCCUUGUAAUUUCUGCCUGUCCUUCCUAAUUGCACUCUCUCAGGUUGAGCUGAAGAAGACUCAUUCCUGUUCCAGUUAGAUAAAACCAACUGCUUGAAGAUAACACUAUGUUCUCCUCAACCAAGUUCCUUCUUCAGCCUAAAUAUCCCAGAGUCCUUCAGGCAUUCCUCAAAGGAUGUGAUUUUAAGUCCCCUCACCAAUUAGUCUGUAUGUGAGCCAAUAGAAUCUAAAUUCCUUCAAGGUAGGGACUAUUUUCUGGCUUCUGUGUAGACUUUCAUCAAGUGCUACCUCCUGGAGAUCUAUCCUGGCUCCCUACUUUGUGCUGUACCCCCCUUCUCAGGCUCUAGUGCCUUUGUGUACCUUCUAUUGCAGAACUAUGUAGAUGGUGUCUCCUCCUUUAGAAUGUAAGCUCCUUGAGAGCAAGGCCUGUGUUUGCCUUUUCUCCACAUUUAACUCCAACAGUCAGCACAGUGCUUGAUAUAUAGUAAGCACUUAAUACAUGUUUGCUUAUUGAUCGAUUUUUUUUUUGUAAACCUAGAUCUGAGCUCCGUAAGUAGAACAUGGUAGGUUCGUGACAAAAGCUGGUUGAAUUUUAUUGAUCAAAACUCUUCUUAAAAUGGAGCACCAGAAAUACAGGGAAGGACGGAUGUUAAUUAAGGAUCAAGAUGGGGCUCCUGGAAAAAUAAAGUAGUGGCUUUGAAGGACUGAUUAGGGAGCAGACAGCAUAAGGAUAAAGGCCAAAAAAAGUGAGUAUUUAGGAAUAGGUUAAUAAAGAGGCGGGGGUUACUUUAAAUUCUCGACUGAGAGGCCCCUUCUAGAGUGGAAAAGAGGUGGAAAGGCUGAGAAAAGAAUAGAUUAAAAAAAAUGUCAAGCCUUGCACAUAGUGGGUGUUUUAAAAUGUGGAUCUGAUAUCCAGCUUAGAUACUGAAGGUUCUCCAGAUGUCAGUGGGCCUUUCCUGCUGUGAAAAUAUAGAGUAUACCAUAUUUAUACUAUUUCAGAAUCUAAGGGUUAAAAGGGAUCUCAGAAAUCAUAAAAAAGGAAAAAAGGACACACAUCUACAAAAAUAUUGAUAACAGCUCUUUUUGUG
This is a long non-coding RNA of Vombatus ursinus (common wombat), 2416 nucleotides long. RefSeq lists it as uncharacterized. The transcript has 3 exons. NCBI's taxonomy places the organism in Eukaryota, Metazoa, Chordata, Mammalia, Diprotodontia, Vombatidae. The record is from RefSeq and is a predicted model, not a curated record.